AGCCAUGCAUGUCUCAGUACAAGCCAAAUUAAGGUGAAACCGCGAAAGGCUCAUUAAAUCAGUUAUGGUUCCUUAGAUCGUACCCACAAUUACUUGGAUAACUGUGGUAAUUCUAGAGCUAAUACAUGCAAACAGAGCUCCGACCGGAGACGGAAGGAGUGCUUUUAUUAGAUCAAAACCAAUCGGUGGCGGGCUCGUCAUCGUACAACUUGGUGACUCUGAAUAACUUUACGCUGAUCGCACGGUCAUCGCACCGGCGACGCAUCUUUCAAAUGUCUGCCUUAUCAACUGUCGAUGGUAGGUUCUGCGCCUACCAUGGUUGUAACGGGUAACGGGGAAUCAGGGUUCGAUUCCGGAGAGGGAGCCUGAGAAACGGCUACCACAUCCAAGGAAGGCAGCAGGCGCGCAAAUUACCCACUCCCGGCACGGGGAGGUAGUGACGAAAAAUAACGAUACGGGACUCAUCCGAGGCCCCGUAAUCGRAAUGAGUACACUCUAAACCCUUUAACGAGGAUCAAUUGGAGGGCAAGUCUGGUGCCAGCAGCCGCGG
Molecule: ribosomal RNA, 550 nt
Filed under: Clypeolus robustus
Lineage: Eukaryota; Metazoa; Arthropoda; Insecta; Coleoptera; Curculionidae
Description: SSU rRNA
Source: RNAcentral